Long non-coding RNA from Gorilla gorilla gorilla (western lowland gorilla), 1684 nucleotides. RefSeq lists it as uncharacterized. The record is from RefSeq and is a predicted model, not a curated record. Lineage: Eukaryota; Metazoa; Chordata; Mammalia; Primates; Hominidae. The transcript has 6 exons.
UGAAGUUAUGAAUUCAACAGGUGAAGAUUUACAACUUGAUAAAUCAGCUUUGUGAGCUCGAGCUGUAAAAGCCAAAGGUCCGGUGAUGAUCCCAUACCCUUUUUUCCAGUCUCAUGUUGAAGAUUUUUAUGUAGAAGGCCUUCCCAAAGGAAUUUUUUUUUUUUUUUUUUGAGAUGGAGUUUUCACUCUUAUCGCCCAGGCUGGGGUGCAAUGGCGCAACCUUGCUGGUCACUGCAACCUCUGCCUCCUGGGUUCAAGAAAUUCUCCUGCCUUAGCCUCCCAAGUCGCUGGGAUUACAGGUGCCUACCACCACACCAGGCUAAUUUUUGUAUUUUUAGUGGAGAUGGGGUUUCGCCAUGUUGGCCGGGCCAGUCUCGAACUCCUGACGUCAAGUGAUCUUCCCGCCUCGGCCUCCCAGAGUGCUGAGAUUACAGACGUGAACCCAUGCCUGGCCAGGAAUUUUGUUUUUUAGGAAGGCUUUCUACUAAUGGAAUUCCUGGCCUUGAGAGGAUGUUACUUUCGAAGGAAAGGAUUUUUUUGUUAUUAAAAGAGCCACCUAAGCUGAAGAUUCCCUUGAGAACAAGUACUGUCCUGCAGUUUCAUGGCCUUUCUUCCAUUUGUGGUUCUUGCGAAGUGGAAUUUAAAUGACAUCUUAUCAAGAUGGAUAAACCCUAGUUUCCCAGUGCUGGAAUAUAGAAAAUGGAUGGACAAGUAAAUCCCACUCAGCACCCAUAGUCCAGGCAUGGGGACCUCAACACACCUGAGCCCCAGACAUCACCUUUCAUUCUGGACCUACCAUGAAAGACUUCUGAAUCCAGGAAGAGAAACUGACUGGGCAACAUGUUAUUCAGAUGGGGUCCUCUUAUGUUGCCCAGGCUGGUCUCAAAUUCCUAGGCUCAAGUGAUUCCGCCCACCUCUGCCUCCCAAAGUGCUGGGAUUACGGGCAUGAGCCAGCGCAUCUGGCCACCUUAUUUUCUAUUACUGGCUCAAUGUAAUGGCUCCAUCUGAGGAACAGCCAAUGAAAGAGAUGCACAGGACAAGAAACAGGACCUUGCCCUGUCACUCAGGAUGGAGUUCAGUGGUCCUAUCAUGGCUCAUUAUAGCCUCAAACUCCCAGGCUCAAGCAAUCCUACCAUGUCAGCCUUCCCAGUAUCUGGGACUACAGGUAAGCAUCGUGACACUCAGUGAAUUUUGUUUUUAUUUUGUUGUAGAGAUGGGACCUCAGUAUGUUGCCACGGCUGACCUUGAACUCCUGCACUCAAGGGAUUUUCCUGCCCUGGCCUCCCAAAGUAUUGGUAUUACAGGCAUGAGCCAUUGUGCCCACCGUCUCUGGUUCUUAACCUUCUGCCUCCCUCUUCCAGUUUUAAAGAAUGCUUGUAAUUACAUGGGCUCUCCUAGAUACUCCAGGAUAAUCUUGUUUUAAGGUCAGCUGAUGAGCAACAUUAAUUUUAUCUGCACUCUUAAUUCCCCCUUCCUAUGUAAUUGUGCUGUGUAACAUAGGACAUGAGCAAUUGGUGGCAGUGGGGGUUAUUACUUUGGCCACCACAGUAACUAUUUUAUGCCAGGUACUCAGCUAAGCACUGGUGAAUUAAGCAUGAAUAACACACACUCCCUAAUCUCCAUCCAUUCAUGGGAGGAGCACCUCACCUGCCAUGCUCCUGAGAAUCUCAGGAGUCAGAGAAGU